This is a long non-coding RNA of Homo sapiens (human), 2407 nucleotides long. NCBI's taxonomy places the organism in Eukaryota, Metazoa, Chordata, Mammalia, Primates, Hominidae. The record is from Ensembl.
AGAGCUUCAGGCCAGAAGAUAAUCCAACAUGAGGCCUGAAAGAAACUUGGGCCAGAAAAUCUCCAGGGUACCUGCCCGCCGAAGUCCCUUCCGAGGACUCUCCUGAGCCAGUGGCUGAGACAUGCACAUCCAUGGUGGAAGCUCCAGGUCUGGGCAGCCCUCUCCCUGCAGUCACAGACUAUGCCCACUAGGAACACCCACCUGGGACAAAGCCUGGCCACAGUCAGAGAGCAGGACGGCUCUCACCAAGCCCCUCAGGUGGCUCCCCGCCGCUGACCCUGUGCUGCGUGGCACAGGCUUCCCCAACGCCCUGCCACAUUUGGCUUCCUCCAAGCAGGCUAUGUGCUUAGGAUGAGAUGUGGCUACUUUUAGCAAACAACACUAGAGUGGCUUCAGCCCAGCCACGGUGACUUCUCGCUCCCAUAAGAGCUCAAGAGGGAGAGGUGAUCUCCCUCCCCAGCCACUGGGGACCCCAGUUCCUGUUGCCUAUUCUGCCACUGUCAUCUUCCUGCACCACCUCAUGGUCCUGGAUGGCUGCACAGGCUCUAGCCGUCAUGCCCCUAUUCCAGCUAGGAGAAAGGGGGAAGCAUAAGUGGCAAGGAGAAGCACCCUCCCCUUCUUCUUUUUUUUUUAAUUGCUCUAUACAUUUAUUAUUAGCUAUUAUUAAUGCAGAACCAGGGGACAAAAAGCUCACAAACACUCUACACAAUUUCACAAGACACAUUGCAGGGGAAAAAGUGACUGAGAUGGAUCAACAGUAUGCUAGGGUCUUGGUGGACUCAUUCCUAGGGGAGGUGGACCUCUAAUUCCUGGUGGAGGGGGUCUCAUUCCUGGAGGGGGCAUGCCUACUGGUGUCCCUCGAGCAGAGGGAAGCCCAAUUGGUGGGCCCGUGGGUGGCCUCAUACCAGGUUCAGAAGCUCCAAGUUUAACUGUGGACAUUGGAUCUGGGGGAACGGCAGUCGUGACCGUGGGCAAGAGUAGCAAGAUGCUGCCACACACGGACCACAGAAUGAGACGUAUCCUACAAGAUGGCCGAGUCUUCAUUGGCACCUUCAAGGCUUUUGACAAGCAUAUGAAUAUGAUCCCCUGUGAUUGUGAUGAGUUCAGAAAGAUGAAACUAAAGAAUGCGAAGCAACCAGCACGUGAAGAAAAGCGGGUUUCGGGCCCCUCCGCUUCUAAAGAAGCUUGCUGGGGGCGCCACACUCACUGCCAUUGCUCAGAGCUUGGUUACACGGCCCGGCCACACCAGGCCACACAGAGACAAGAAGCGCAAUGUGCUGGCAAAGACUCUUACCGGAGGAGAAGGGGAGAAUGGCUGUCUUUGCCAAAUAGCCCGUCACGAACGUACCCCUGCUGGGCCCCCGCAAGUGCACCAACCGACUCGAAAGUCCCAGAGAGGGCUGGCGGGCAAGGACCUGAGUCUCCAGCCACCCCUGCAGGAGGAGCCCAGGGACCCUCGCAUCCCUGAUAAGGAAGCAGGUGGCGUGCCCUGCUGUGACCCCGAAACAGCCUGUAGUCUCACCCUCCAUUUCCACGAGACUCUAAGUCUGCCGCUUUUGCAGCAAAAGCCCAGUGCUGGGGGUGAGCGUGUGGGGAGUGUGGGAGACGGGCUCUGACCCGGCCACCCUGGGCAGCUGUGCUCACGCAGCACCCCCGCCGUUCCCAGCUGGACUUCACCUGGCAGGACAGCCAACAGGCCUCACCGUGGCCUCCGUCCCGGGGGUCGUGCAUGGGGGACUGGGCCAGCCCGAGCAGUGGGACAUGCUGCCUUCCUACCCUGCUCCACCUGCCACAAACACAAACUGGAAUGUUCUCAGCCACCUCCAGACUUCACACCCUUUGGGCUUUGGGGCACAGAGGUCGGGCUGCCCUGGGGAGAGGAGGGAGAGAAGGAGGCUUCGAGAGAGCACGGACAUGAGUCAGACCUGAAAUAAAGCAAAGCCACACCGCCUCACGUUUUAAAGCAAUUGCCAAUGUCUCAGCGUGUUCUGAAGCUCAGGGCGACAGCCGGGGGCGGAUAAACACCUGCCACAGAUGCCCAGCAUGCCCGUGCCACCCCCGUGCCACCCCUGAGGUCUCUGGACUGAAGGAAGCAGAAGGCCCUGGAGGGCACCUCCUGCUGGGCCAGGGCCACUGGGGUCUCCCAGGAGCACCUCCAGCCCUGCCCCCCAUGCCCAGAUUGUGGGGAGCACAGGGCUCGCUCCACUGUCCAUGGAAGAGGCUGGAAAUUCAGCCCAGCCAUCCCCACCCCAGGGACAGGCCUCCCAGGAGCUCACACUCAACCCCCACAAACUGACGUGGACUUGGGGUCCCAGGCAUCUUUCCUCCCAGACCCGAGAGCAGCCAGAAACAAACCCUCCAGAAACCUGCCUUUCACUGGUACAAAUAAAUCGACAAAGAGGGCAAA